This 497-nucleotide ribosomal RNA is filed under the name uncultured bacterium. RNAcentral describes it as "partial 16S ribosomal RNA". It matches the Rfam family "Bacterial small subunit ribosomal RNA", at positions 28 to 507 of the family's 1533-position model. The record is from RNAcentral.
GAUGAACGCUGGCGGCGUGCCUAAUACAUGCAAGUCGAGCGAACGGACGAGAAGCUUGCUUUUCUGAUGUUAGCGGCGGACGGGUGAGUAACACGUGGAUAACCUACCUAUAAGACUGGGAUAACUUCGGGAAACCGGAGCUAAUACCGGAUAAUAUUUUGAACCUCAUGGUUCAAAAGUGAAAGACGUUCUUGCUGUCACUUAUAGAUGGAUCCGCGCUGCAUUAGCUAGUUGGUAAGGUAACGGCUUACCAAGGCAACGAUGCAUAGCCGACGUGAGAGGGGGAUAGGCCACACGGGAACUGAGACACGGACCAGAGGCCUACGGGAGGAAGCAGUAGGGAAUGUUAGGGAAUGGGCGAAAGGGUGACGGAGCAAAGGCGAGUGAGAGAAGAAGGUCUUCGGAUCGGAAAACUCUGUUAUUAGGGAAGAACAUAUGUGUAAGUAACAGUGAAGAUAUUGACGGUAACUAAUCAGAAAGCAACGGCUAACUACGUG